UGGGAUCGUUCGUCACGCGCCUUCUAGCUAUGUUGGAGGCCGGCAUACCGCUCAGUAGCACGUGGCUAACCUACCCUUGGGACGGAGACAUCCCCGGGAAACUGGGGCUAAUUUCCGAUAGGCGAAGCUCCCUGGAAUGGGUUUUCACUUAAAGGGCGCUUAGAUCAUGCUUCUAGGCGUUGCCCAAGGACGGGGCCGCGGCCGAUCAGGUUGUUGGUGAGGUAACGGCUCACCAAGCCUAUAACCGGUGCGGGCCGUGGGAGCGGAAGCCCGGAGAUGGGUACUGAGACAAGGGCCCAGGCCCUACGGGGCGCAGCGGUCGCGCAAACUUCACAAUAAGCGAAAGCUUGAUGGGGCCAUCCCGAGUGCCAUCCGCUGAGGAUGGCUUUUACCCAGUAUAGUUAGCUGGGGGAAUAAGGAGAGGGCAAGUCUGGUGUCAGCCGCCGCGGUAAUACCAGCUCUCCGAGUGGUGGGGAUGAUUAUUGGGCCUGAAGCAUCCGUAGCUUGCUGAACAAGUCCCCUGUUAAACCCAGCGAUUCAAUCGUUGGUCUGCGGGGGAUACUGCUCGGCUUGGGGGCGGGAGAGGCUGUCGGUAUUCUCGGGGUAGGGGUGAAAUCCUAUAAUCCCGGGAGGACCACCAGUGGCGAAGGCUGUCAGCUAGCACGCGCCCGACGGUGAGGGAUGAAAGCUGGGGGAGCGAACCGGAUUAGAUACCCGGGUAGUCCCAGCUGUAAACGAUGCAGGCUAGGUGUUUGGGCGGCUACGUGCCGCUCUAGUGCCGCAGGGAAACUGUUAAGCCUGCCGCCUGGGGAGUACGGCCCGCAAGGCUGAAACUUAAAG
RNAcentral lists this ribosomal RNA (840 nucleotides) under uncultured archaeon. RNAcentral's name for it is "bacterial SSU rRNA". It matches the Rfam family "Archaeal small subunit ribosomal RNA", at positions 39 to 861 of the family's 1478-position model. The record is from RNAcentral.